This 2315-nucleotide long non-coding RNA is filed under the name Lynx pardinus (Iberian lynx). Lineage: Eukaryota; Metazoa; Chordata; Mammalia; Carnivora; Felidae. The record is from RNAcentral.
UCCCACCAUCAUUACAAACGUCCAGGGUGCUUAGAAGACCAAGGAAUCAAGGUCAGCUGUAUUCACAGUCUUGAGCCUUCACCCUCUUACCCGAUAACAGGCGAUUCCCAGUCCUAGCCAGGUAAGGCACGAAGGUGAUCUCUUACAGGCUUGCAGGUAGGUUUUCUUUGCCUUUUCAUACUGUAGGAAGAAAGCGCCCCUAAGCUAUUGUUCUUCUGGAAGUUUCAAAUGUUGUAUUGCUAAGUUAGUCAUGGGGCAUCUGUAGUUGUACCAAAGACCUAUCUAAGUUAAAGGAACCCUUAAAUUGUUUUUUUUGUUUGUUUGUUUAGAGCAGUUUUAGGUUCACAGCAAAAUUGAGAGGAAGGUACAGAGAUUUCUCAUAUACAUCCUGUUGCUGCAUAUGCAUAACCUCUCCCAUUAUCAACAUGCCCCAUCAGAGUGGUACCUUUGUUACAACUGAUGAAACUAUGCUAAUACAUCUUCAUCACCUAAAGCCCAUGGUUUACCUUAAGGUUUGCAUUUGAUGUUAUACAUUCCAUAGGUUUGGACAAAUGUAUAAUGACAUGUAUCCAUUAUUAGAGUAUUUUCACUGUCCUAAAAAUCCUCUGUGCUCCAUCUAUUCAUCACUUCCCUUCCCCAACCCAAUCACUGAUUUCUUUACUAUCUCCAUAGUUUUGUCUUUUCCAGAAUGUCAUACAGUUGGAAUCAUACAAUAUGCACCCUUCUCAGAUUGGCUUCUUUCACUUAGUAAUAUCUAUUUAAGCUUCCUUUAUGUUUCUUCAUGGUUUGCUAGCUUAUCUCUUUUUAGCACUGAGUGAUACAGGAAACAUUAAGAAAAACUAAAAAAAAUUUUUCAGAAGAAGUAGAUUACUUCUUGUCUUGUAUCUCCAAUGUGAGAGAUGCAACUAUAGGUAAGCCUCAGCAAAUAGCCUAAGAAUUGCUUGCCUAGGGAAAUUGCUUGCCUUGACUACAUAAGUCAGAAGCUCUAUUCAGAUGCAGCUUGCAAUGAUGUCAGAAAGGAAAGUUUCUUUCAGGGAAGUACACUGCAAUGGGAUAGUGAUUUUUCUCUCUCAAGCCUAUGUGAGCCAUCAUACUUACAUUAUAAUGCAUUGUAAUUUCUUGUUGCUCUUGUUUUAUUUUAUAUAGAAAGAAAAUUGGGUGUUCUGGAGGCAGAAAUGGAAUGAAGUCAAAACAAAAACAGAAUCAAAAGGACUUUGGCAAAAUAUUGAUAAUUGUUAACAUGGGAUGGUUAGCCCAUGUUGGUUCAUUCUACUAUUCUAUUUUAUAUGUAUUUGAAAUUUUCCAUAACAGAAAGUUUCUUUUAGAAGGUCUUGGGGUGGUUCCUAAAAUAUGGACAGUAAUUACUAAAGAGUCAGGUCAGAGUGUCCUAUGGAAUGGGGCUAGCUACCCUCAGCCAAAUAAACUAUAAACCUCUGUGCUGAGGAAGAAGUUUGGAGAAGGUCUUUUGAUAUUUUCCAUUAAUAAAGUCAAGCUAAGAAUGUUUUUACUACUGCUAAUAAAAGGAAGUUUGCUUAAAUAGUAACUACAAUAACAUUUAUUGUAUAAAUGUAUACAUUUAUGAUACAGCUUUUUAGUAUCAUAGUGGUUAAAACCACAGACUGUAGUAUUAGACUGCCUGGGUUUGAAUCCUGAUUCUAUUAAUUACUAGUUUCUCUAAUGUUGGUCAAGUCACUUUACUUUUGGAUGUAAAAGUAUCAUUAUUAUAUGAGUAUGUGUAGUCCACACAGAUGAAUGCUAAUGCUUGAACUGUAGUCAGGUCUCAGACCAUAACCUGAUUUAUUUACAUGGUUACUCCCCAUCCUGUAUCCCUCACCUCUUUCUCUUCCAGAUAGAUUUGUCCCAGUCGCAGGAAGAUGAAGUGCAUCUCAGAAGCAUCCACUACAAAACUAAUGGUUCGCUCAUAGCAUGCCUUGGCCUCAGCAUGAUUUCCACUUAGAAAAUAGAGAUGGCCCUUCAUGCCCCAGACAUUAGGGUUCUGAGAAAGUAAAGAACAAGUGGUACCUGGGAUGAGGUGGUAUUUAUAAAUACAUUAAUGAUCUUUGUUUAACAUUUAAAAUUAGAUUAAGUCCUUUUUUCCUUUUCCUAAUAGCAUUCAAUUAGAAAGAGGGCCAUUCAGUUGCACUGGGAGAUAAUUUUCUAGGUCUGCUCUCUCAUUUCUUUCUUGCAUUCUUCAAAACCAUUUUGUCUUUGGGGUAAAUAUUAAGAAAAACUUCAAAUAUAACCAAGACAAUGUUCACAAUGAGAAAACAGAAGAAGUCCAGAAGACUUGAAAUAGAUCAACUAUCUGCUAAAGA